This 687-nucleotide long non-coding RNA is filed under the name Solanum tuberosum (potato). RNAcentral's name for it is "long non-coding RNA (STUB_LNC002310)". Lineage: Eukaryota; Viridiplantae; Streptophyta; Magnoliopsida; Solanales; Solanaceae. The record is from RNAcentral.
AGGGAGCUGUGAGUACAUCAUUAGUAUUUUUCCUGAGCUCAUGGUGCAUCGAGAAAAAAGGUCCUUUAUAUGUCUCGAUGUUCAAUCCGUUGUUGUUGGUUAUUUCUGCAUUUCUCAGUUGGACUUUGCUUCGUGAGAAAUUAUACCUUGGAGUGUAAGCAUAUAAAGCCAAAUACUUUAUUUUCAUAUUGUAAGCUAAUUACUAUAAAAAAAAAUAUUGUAAAACAUUUAGCAUUUGUUUGAUCAUUUUUUGAAAUAUAUCAGAGGUUGUAGGGUCAAUCAUAGUAGUGGCUGGGCUUUACGGAUUUUUGUGGGGAAAAAAGAUGGAGACAAAUGCAGAGGAUAUUGAAGUAAAUAAAGAGAAGAUGAAUCAGUUGAGUAAAUCAAUUGAUUUGGAAUUACAAUUACCCAACUCUAAUGAUCAGAUAUCAUCAGAAUUAACCAAAACUAAACUCCAAAUAUGAGGAAUUGGAGUUGUAAUUGUAACAACUACUAAAAUUAAUCUCUUCCAAUUUGUGUAUCGGACAAUAUAUGAAUAAAACCAUUUACCUUUCGGAUCGUAUGGAUUAUUUGCAAGUUUUUCAUACCAUGCCGGUUCUAUAUUUUUGAAGCAUCUCCUUCCUUUGUUGUUAACUCCCUAAAAAGAGAUGCUAAUGAAACUUCUUCACAUAGAUCAGUUCUCUUUUA